AUUAGACUAUAAAUCUUGGUAUGUAAUCGUUCACUGCUGAAAAAAUUAUGUAGAAUUGUACUUAAAAGAGAUUAGAGAAGUAAAAAAGUGUACAUUGUAUAGAGGUGAGAUAUGUUUAAUUCCUAGCACAAAAUGUAAUAUGUGUUCCCACAUCCCACGAUUACACGUGUAAUUGCCAAAACCAUUCAAUUAAAAAUAACAUUUGCAAGCAUAUUCACGCCGUUGCAAUGAACCUCCUUAGCCAAAAUACCGACAACAAAACCAAAAAGCACACAUAGACGACAGACGUAGUAUACAGACAAAUAUAACAUGUAAAGAUGAUGAACCGAUGGAGACAACACUUAAAGACGAGGAAAAUCAAUAACACCAUGAUGAUGGUAAUAAGAACUAAUAAAAAAAAGAUAUUUUAUUACAUAGCUUAAGGCACAAAAUAUUACAAGAAAUUGAGCAAUCGUUACAGCAGAUAAAAACACGAGAACAACUUACUACAACAGUUAAAUAAAAAGUGGUUGCACACAUCCAUGUUUCUCCAUAGCUGCUUCAAAAUUGAAACUGUGCUUAAUGAAACAAAAAAAUAAGUUGCUAAGGGGUAAAAUGAAAACACAAAAGAGAAUCUUUUACGUGCCAAAAAACAAGGAAAAUAAAGAAAUCUAAAUUUUCUUAAUUUCAGAAUUUUUUAAUAAUAGCAUUAAUUAUAUAUUAAUAAUAUAAAUUUGAAUUAUUAAUUAUUAUGUACUUUAUGUUCCGGGUAUGUACAGUAAAAAACAGUGAUAAACAAUAUUUUAUUAUAACUAAUUAUAUUAUUUUUUUUAACGUAGUUAAUAUUGCUUAUUCAAUAUAUAAUUGAUUAAGUUUAAUGAUUAUUAUUAUUUUUGUAAGACGUGUGUUA
Molecule: long non-coding RNA, 889 nt
Organism: Metopolophium dirhodum (rose-grain aphid)
Lineage: Eukaryota; Metazoa; Arthropoda; Insecta; Hemiptera; Aphididae
Exons: 3
Source: RefSeq, a predicted model, not a curated record